RNAcentral lists this ribosomal RNA (2904 nucleotides) under Escherichia coli. RNAcentral describes it as "23S ribosomal RNA". It matches the Rfam family "Bacterial large subunit ribosomal RNA". The record is from RNAcentral. Lineage: Bacteria; Pseudomonadati; Pseudomonadota; Gammaproteobacteria; Enterobacterales; Enterobacteriaceae.
GGUUAAGCGACUAAGCGUACACGGUGGAUGCCCUGGCAGUCAGAGGCGAUGAAGGACGUGCUAAUCUGCGAUAAGCGUCGGUAAGGUGAUAUGAACCGUUAUAACCGGCGAUUUCCGAAUGGGGAAACCCAGUGUGUUUCGACACACUAUCAUUAACUGAAUCCAUAGGUUAAUGAGGCGAACCGGGGGAACUGAAACAUCUAAGUACCCCGAGGAAAAGAAAUCAACCGAGAUUCCCCCAGUAGCGGCGAGCGAACGGGGAGCAGCCCAGAGCCUGAAUCAGUGUGUGUGUUAGUGGAAGCGUCUGGAAAGGCGCGCGAUACAGGGUGACAGCCCCGUACACAAAAAUGCACAUACUGUGAGCUCGAUGAGUAGGGCGGGACACGUGGUAUCCUGUCUGAAUAUGGGGGGACCAUCCUCCAAGGCUAAAUACUCCUGACUGACCGAUAGUGAACCAGUACCGUGAGGGAAAGGCGAAAAGAACCCCGGCGAGGGGAGUGAAAAAGAACCUGAAACCGUGUACGUACAAGCAGUGGGAGCACGCUUAGGCGUGUGACUGCGUACCUUUUGUAUAAUGGGUCAGCGACUUAUAUUCUGUAGCAAGGUUAACCGAAUAGGGGAGCCGAAGGGAAACCGAGUCUUAACUGGGCGUUAAGUUGCAGGGUAUAGACCCGAAACCCGGUGAUCUAGCCAUGGGCAGGUUGAAGGUUGGGUAACACUAACUGGAGGACCGAACCGACUAAUGUUGAAAAAUUAGCGGAUGACUUGUGGCUGGGGGUGAAAGGCCAAUCAAACCGGGAGAUAGCUGGUUCUCCCCGAAAGCUAUUUAGGUAGCGCCUCGUGAAUUCAUCUCCGGGGGUAGAGCACUGUUUCGGCAAGGGGGUCAUCCCGACUUACCAACCCGAUGCAAACUGCGAAUACCGGAGAAUGUUAUCACGGGAGACACACGGCGGGUGCUAACGUCCGUCGUGAAGAGGGAAACAACCCAGACCGCCAGCUAAGGUCCCAAAGUCAUGGUUAAGUGGGAAACGAUGUGGGAAGGCCCAGACAGCCAGGAUGUUGGCUUAGAAGCAGCCAUCAUUUAAAGAAAGCGUAAUAGCUCACUGGUCGAGUCGGCCUGCGCGGAAGAUGUAACGGGGCUAAACCAUGCACCGAAGCUGCGGCAGCGACGCUUAUGCGUUGUUGGGUAGGGGAGCGUUCUGUAAGCCUGCGAAGGUGUGCUGUGAGGCAUGCUGGAGGUAUCAGAAGUGCGAAUGCUGACAUAAGUAACGAUAAAGCGGGUGAAAAGCCCGCUCGCCGGAAGACCAAGGGUUCCUGUCCAACGUUAAUCGGGGCAGGGUGAGUCGACCCCUAAGGCGAGGCCGAAAGGCGUAGUCGAUGGGAAACAGGUUAAUAUUCCUGUACUUGGUGUUACUGCGAAGGGGGGACGGAGAAGGCUAUGUUGGCCGGGCGACGGUUGUCCCGGUUUAAGCGUGUAGGCUGGUUUUCCAGGCAAAUCCGGAAAAUCAAGGCUGAGGCGUGAUGACGAGGCACUACGGUGCUGAAGCAACAAAUGCCCUGCUUCCAGGAAAAGCCUCUAAGCAUCAGGUAACAUCAAAUCGUACCCCAAACCGACACAGGUGGUCAGGUAGAGAAUACCAAGGCGCUUGAGAGAACUCGGGUGAAGGAACUAGGCAAAAUGGUGCCGUAACUUCGGGAGAAGGCACGCUGAUAUGUAGGUGAGGUCCCUCGCGGAUGGAGCUGAAAUCAGUCGAAGAUACCAGCUGGCUGCAACUGUUUAUUAAAAACACAGCACUGUGCAAACACGAAAGUGGACGUAUACGGUGUGACGCCUGCCCGGUGCCGGAAGGUUAAUUGAUGGGGUUAGCGCAAGCGAAGCUCUUGAUCGAAGCCCCGGUAAACGGCGGCCGUAACUAUAACGGUCCUAAGGUAGCGAAAUUCCUUGUCGGGUAAGUUCCGACCUGCACGAAUGGCGUAAUGAUGGCCAGGCUGUCUCCACCCGAGACUCAGUGAAAUUGAACUCGCUGUGAAGAUGCAGUGUACCCGCGGCAAGACGGAAAGACCCCGUGAACCUUUACUAUAGCUUGACACUGAACAUUGAGCCUUGAUGUGUAGGAUAGGUGGGAGGCUUAGAAGUGUGGACGCCAGUCUGCAUGGAGCCGACCUUGAAAUACCACCCUUUAAUGUUUGAUGUUCUAACGUUGACCCGUAAUCCGGGUUGCGGACAGUGUCUGGUGGGUAGUUUGACUGGGGCGGUCUCCUCCUAAAGAGUAACGGAGGAGCACGAAGGUUGGCUAAUCCUGGUCGGACAUCAGGAGGUUAGUGCAAUGGCAUAAGCCAGCUUGACUGCGAGCGUGACGGCGCGAGCAGGUGCGAAAGCAGGUCAUAGUGAUCCGGUGGUUCUGAAUGGAAGGGCCAUCGCUCAACGGAUAAAAGGUACUCCGGGGAUAACAGGCUGAUACCGCCCAAGAGUUCAUAUCGACGGCGGUGUUUGGCACCUCGAUGUCGGCUCAUCACAUCCUGGGGCUGAAGUAGGUCCCAAGGGUAUGGCUGUUCGCCAUUUAAAGUGGUACGCGAGCUGGGUUUAGAACGUCGUGAGACAGUUCGGUCCCUAUCUGCCGUGGGCGCUGGAGAACUGAGGGGGGCUGCUCCUAGUACGAGAGGACCGGAGUGGACGCAUCACUGGUGUUCGGGUUGUCAUGCCAAUGGCACUGCCCGGUAGCUAAAUGCGGAAGAGAUAAGUGCUGAAAGCAUCUAAGCACGAAACUUGCCCCGAGAUGAGUUCUCCCUGACUCCUUGAGAGUCCUGAAGGAACGUUGAAGACGACGACGUUGAUAGGCCGGGUGUGUAAGCGCAGCGAUGCGUUGAGCUAACCGGUACUAAUGAACCGUGAGGCUUAACCUU